CUACGGGCGGCAGCAGUGAGGAAUAUUGCACAAUGGGGGGAACCCUGAUGCAGCAACGCCGCGUGGAGGAUGACGCAUUUCGGUGUGUAAACUCCUUUUAUAUGUCAAGAAAAUGACGGUAGCAUAUGAAUAAGCACCGGCUAACUCCGUGCCAGCAGCCGCGGUACUACGGGAGGGUGCAAGCGUUACUCGGAAUCACUGGGCGUAAAGGACGCGUAGGCGGGUUGGAAAGUCAGGUGUGAAAUCCUACAGCUUAACUGUAGAACUGCACUUGAAACUUCUAAUCUAGAGUAUGGGAGGGGGAGAUGGAAUUAGUGGUGUAGGGGUAAAAUCCGUAGAUAUCACUAGGAAUACCUAAAGCGAAGGCGAUCUCCUGGAACAUUACUGACGCUAAGGCGUGAAAGCGUGGGGAGCAAACAGGAUUAGAUACCCCAGUAGUC
Molecule: ribosomal RNA, 440 nt
Filed under: uncultured bacterium
Lineage: Bacteria
Description: partial 16S ribosomal RNA
Rfam family: Bacterial small subunit ribosomal RNA
Source: RNAcentral